AUCCAAACGUUGAUGAGCUAUGCUUGCGAAGGCUGAAACCGGAGGUUACUCGGGUGGAGGACCAUUGCAAUUCUGGUGUGUAAAUCGAUCAUGUAAGGUGAGUACAGGAGGAGAAGUCCAACCAGAUCAUCCAGUAUCCGG
This is a non-coding RNA of Schistosoma haematobium, 141 nucleotides long. The record is from Rfam. NCBI's taxonomy places the organism in Eukaryota, Metazoa, Platyhelminthes, Trematoda, Strigeidida, Schistosomatidae.